GCAGUAAGGAAUAUUGGUCAAUGGAGGCAACUCUGAACCAGCCAUGCCGCGUGCAGGAAGACUGCCCUAUGGGUUGUAAACUGCUUUUAUCCGGGAAUAAACCACGAUACGUGUAUCGUGCUGAAUGUACCGGAAGAAUAAGGAUCGGCUAACUCCGUGCCAGCAGCCGCGGUAAUACGGAGGAUCCAAGCGUUAUCCGGAUUUAUUGGGUUUAAAGGGUGCGUAGGCGGCCUGUUAAGUCAGGGGUGAAAGACGGUAGCUCAACUAUCGCAGUGCCCUUGAUACUGAUGGGCUUGAAUGGACUAGAGGUAGGCGGAAUGAGACAAGUAGCGGUGAAAUGCAUAGAUAUGUCUCAGAACACCGAUUGCGAAGGCAGCUUACUAUGGUUUAAUUGACGCUGAGGCACGAAAGCGUGGGGAUCAAACAGGAUUAGA
This 434-nucleotide ribosomal RNA is filed under the name uncultured bacterium. RNAcentral describes it as "bacterial SSU rRNA". It matches the Rfam family "Bacterial small subunit ribosomal RNA", at positions 351 to 782 of the family's 1533-position model. The record is from RNAcentral.